RNAcentral lists this ribosomal RNA (327 nucleotides) under uncultured eukaryote. RNAcentral describes it as "partial 18S ribosomal RNA". It matches the Rfam family "Eukaryotic small subunit ribosomal RNA", at positions 1470 to 1796 of the family's 1831-position model. The record is from RNAcentral.
CCCUUAGAUGUUCUGGGCCGCACACGCGCUACACUGAGGGAGGCAGCGUGUACUCCUGGAUCGAAAGAUUUGGGUAACCCGCGAAUCUCCUUCGUGCUAGGGAUUGAGGUUUGCAAUUAUCCUUCAUGAACGAGGAAUUCCCAGUAAGUGCAAGUCAUAAGCUUGCGCUGACUACGUCCCUGCCCUUUGUACACACCGCCCGUCGCUACUACCGAUUGAAUGAUUUAGUGAGGACUUCAGACUGGGACCGAUGCGGCUUUCGGGCUGCGUCGGUAUUCUGGAAAGAUGUCCAAACUGUAUCAUUUAGAGGAAGUAAAAGUCGUAACA